This 1037-nucleotide ribosomal RNA is filed under the name Thermotoga sp. enrichment culture. RNAcentral's name for it is "bacterial SSU rRNA". It matches the Rfam family "Bacterial small subunit ribosomal RNA", at positions 28 to 1072 of the family's 1533-position model. Lineage: Bacteria; Thermotogati; Thermotogota; Thermotogae; Thermotogales; Thermotogaceae. The record is from RNAcentral.
GGUGAACGCUGGCGGCGUGCCUAACACAUGCAAGUCGAGCGGGUACCCGCAAGGGUACCAGCGGCGCACGGGUGAGUAACACGUGGGUAAUCUACCCCUCGGAGGGGGAUAACCGGGGGAAACUCCGGCUAAUACCCCAUACGAUCCAACAACACAAGUUGUUGGAUGAAAGGAGCGUUUGCUCCGCCGAGGGAUGAGCCCGCGGCCCAUCAGGUAGUUGGUGGGGUAAUGGCCCACCAAGCCUACGACGGGUAGCCGGCCUGAGAGGGUGGUCGGCCACAAGGGCACUGAGACACGGGCCCUACUCCUACGGGAGGCAGCAGUGGGGAAUCUUGGACAAUGGGCGAAAGCCUGAUCCAGCGACGCCGCGUGGGGGAUGAAGCCCUUCGGGGUGUAAACCCCUGUUGCGAGGGAGGAAUAAGGCCUGGAGGAAAUGCCAGGCCGAUGACUGUACCUCGCGAGGAAGCCCCGGCUAACUACGUGCCAGCAGCCGCGGUAAUACGUAGGGGGCGAGCGUUACCCGGAUUCACUGGGCGUAAAGCGGGUGUAGGCGGCUCGGUAAGUCGGGUGUGAAAUCCCACAGCUCAACUGUGGAAUUGCGCCCGAAACUGCUGAGCUUGGGGCCGGUAGAGGGAGACGGAACUGCCGGUGUAGGGGUGAAAUCCGUAGAUAUCGGCAGGAACGCCGGUGGGGAAGCCGGUCUCCUGGGCCGCGCCCGACGCUGAGACCCGAAAGCUAGGGGAGCAAACCGGAUUAGAUACCCGGGUAGUCCUAGCCGUAAACGAUGCCCACUAGGUGUGGGGGAUUAAUUCCUCCGUGCUGUAGCUAACGCGUUAAGUGGGCCGCCUGGGGAGUACGCCCGCAAGGGUGAAACUCAAAGGAAUUGGCGGGACCCCGCACAAGCGGUGGAGCGCGUGGCUUUAACUUGGAUGCUGAGCCAAGAAACCUUACAGGGCUUGACAUGCAGUGGGUACCUGACCUCGAAAGGGGAGGGACCUCAUCUUUCGGCAUGGGGGUAGUCUGCUCAGCUGGGUGCA